Long non-coding RNA from Camelus dromedarius (Arabian camel), 6227 nucleotides. RefSeq lists it as uncharacterized. NCBI's taxonomy places the organism in Eukaryota, Metazoa, Chordata, Mammalia, Artiodactyla, Camelidae. The transcript has 4 exons. The record is from RefSeq and is a predicted model, not a curated record.
UAAAAUUAGUCUUUCUGUGGAUAACCACACAUCCCAGAAGAUCUUACUGUAUAUUGUGCCAUUCCUCUGCAUUCAUGCCAUGAUGGUUCUCACAUAUAUUAAGUGCCUCUCUAUGUUUGGUGCUAUUUUAAAUCUAUUAUUUUCCAUUUGUCCAUUUAUUUAUGCCUUUUUCAGUAUCCUUAAUUAUAAAAUAAUUUGAUGAUACAAAGGGGGAUUCACCUCACUUGGUAAUUCAGUAUUAUCUGCCCUAAUCUUCUCUCUCUUCUCCAUUUAAAUAUCAGAUUGGUUUUGUCAAAUUUCAUGAAAAUAUCUCUUGUAAUUUUGAUUAGUGCUGCAUUCAACACAUAGAUGAUAGUUCAGAAAUUGGAAUACAUUUCCUGUUGGUUUAAAUUCUACAUGACAUGACAUAUAUCUUCACUUAAUUCAAAUUUUUGAAAUGCUGUUCUCUAAAAUUUAAUAAUUUUCUGAAUUAAAGUCUAACUCAUCCUAUGAUAUUUGUUUCUGUAUUUUAUACUGUAUGUUACUCUUAAUUGCUCUCUCCUUUUGAAAAUAUAUAUUUCACUGUUGCUAGUAUAUGGAAAUAAGUUGACUUUUCAUAUUAUAUGAAACUCAGUUAAAUUAUUAAAUGAUAUGAUAAGUAAUGCAAUGCUUCUUUAGAUUCCUUUGCGUCUUCUGUAUUUGUCAUCUGUCUAUAAUCACUGACUUUCCCUUUUCUCAUUUCACACUUUGUCUUGUUUUGUUAGCUGGGAUUUCAGCACAAUGCUGAACAGAAAUGGUGGUGGCGUUCUUCUGCUCAUUUAUCAAUUACGUGUGACCAGGACAACUAGAAGUACAGGAUACGUGCUACUCACAAUGGGGUUUAAAAGGAUAAGAUUAGAUCCUGGGUAUUUCAAGGAACUAUUGGCAUCCCAGGAUGUUUGCAAAUCAUUCUCCCAGAUGCUACUGAACCUGGUUCAUCUCAGCUGACCAACAAGAAGCCAAAACGCUGAGGUGUGCAGCAGAGAAAAGAUUUGUCUCUAAGGCAGCCAAGCGAGGUGAUGCGAGAACAGAUCUCAGAUCCACCUCCCUGAAAGCAAGAGGCGCAGGGUAUGCAUGUGAUAAAGAAUAAAGAAGUAAAUCUGCCUUAGGUGUGGGGAGCGUGGAGAUCUUGAGGAGAGGUGAUUUGAAAAAGAUGUGGUAACUCUCAUCCUGCGCAGGCAUAACUGAGCUAGAAGCCCUGCAGAGUCAUAAGGGAAGACUCUGAGCAGGAUUCGAGGGUCGAGGUUUUGGUCCCCUGAUUUUGCACACCCAGGUCGAGGGUCCAUGGUUCUAACCAGUCUUAACAAGCUGACAUCCAACUAGACACAGCUUACUCUGGCUCCUCCCAGCUGGAUGUAGCUGACUCCAGGUUCCAGAAAAAUACCUCAAAGAAACAUGUUGUUUAGAUUUACUUGAAGCUUGGAGAACACGCAAGUCUUAAAAAGACCUUGAUUCGAGAAGGCAAGCGAAAUGGAUUUGACUAAUCGUUACCCAGGGUUCCACAGCCCGGACCUGAAGUAUGUCACUUGAGUUCCCUGAAGUAUCUGAGGACUUCCCACCUCAGGUGAGGGGAGGUCUCUGCUUGCUCUUUAAGCUCCAAAAGUGUUUUUACAGAAAGACCCACAUCCCCUCCUAGUGGCCAAAGUUCCAAAUGGUCUUUCCCCUUGGUCCUUCUCAGCCAUCUGGCUGUGGUAAUCCUCUCCAUGAGCCUAAUGAAGCCCAGCUCAUCUUUAGCAGGACGUUGUAAACAUGACUUGCUCUAAAGCACUGCUCUGUGAUUCUACCAGAUCUCCCUGUGUCACAGAGAGUAAUAAGUGGGUUCACACGAUACCCUGCCCGAGCCCGGCUAACAUGGCCAGAGACGCCAGAUCCCUUGAAAGAGUUUUCCCAUGAGUCUGAAACUGUAACAGAACCAUAGAGACAGAAGGUAAUGGUUGCUGAGGCUUUUUUGGCUUUUAGAAAGAAGACUUACGAGCUUCUGCUGCUUAGGAACAUAGGAGGAGGGUUUCUGUUCUUGGUAUUUUUGAUGAUACCAUCUGACAGGUGUGAUAUAACAUCUCAUUGCGGUUUUGAUUUGCCCCUGUGAUGACAGCAGUGUUGAGCAUCCUUCUCUGUGACCCUUGGCCAUCUGUAUGUCUUCUUUGGAAAAAUGUCUAUUAGCUCUCUUGCCCAUUUUGCAAUUGGUAUUUUUUGGAUAUUCAGUAAUAUUAGCUGCUUAUAUAUUUUGGAUAUUAACCCCUUAUCAGUCAUCACUUUGCAUACACUUUUCCCGCUGUGUGAGUUGGCUUUUCAUUUUGUGUAUGGUUUCCUUUGUUAUUAAAACCUCUCAAGCUUAACUAAGUCCCAUUUGUUUAUUUUUGCUUUUGUGUCCUUUGCCUGAGGCGACAGAUACAAAAAUAUUGCUGCAAUUUAUGCCAAAGGGUACCCUAAGUUUUCCUUUCAGCGUUUUAUGAUUUUUGGCCUUACAUGUAAGUCAUUAAUCUAUUUUGUGUCUAUUUUCAUAUAAGCUGUGAGAAACUGUUCUCACCUCUUUCUUUCACACGUGGCUGGCCAGUUUUCCCAGCACCACUUUUUGAAGAAAGUGUCUUUUGCCAAUUUUAUGUUCCUGCAUAUUUUGUCACAGAUUAAUCAACCAUAUUUGUGUGGGCUUACUUCUGGCCUCUCUGCUCUGUUCCAUCGACCUGUGCCUCGGUUUCUGGGCCAGUACCACGCUAUUUUGAUGAUUAUAUCUUUGUACAGCGGGCAGAAGUCGGGGAGCGUGGCACCUUCGGCUUUGGGCUUUUUCCUCAUGAUUGCUGUGGCUCUCCGGGGUCCUCUGUGGUUCCAUAUACAUCUUAGGAGUCUUUGUGCUGGUUUUGUGAAAAUGUCAUGGGUCUUAUGAUAGGGGUUGCUUGAAGUCUGUAGAUUGCUUUGGAUAAAAUAUACCUUUUAACAAUAUUACCUCUUGAACUGGCCCACGGGAGGAACAAGAAGUGAAUUCACAGACUUGAGCAGCACAGCUGGGACACCCGCAUUCCUUACUGCAGGCCACGAGCCUCCCUGUAAAACACGCUCCUUACUGUGCUUAAUGGACUGGUUUAUUUUCGUAAGCAAGGGGCAUCUUUUAACUCUAUCACUAUUGAAUUACUAAUAGUCUGUAUUAAAGAGUGACUAACAGUUGGUCACACAGGUAGUGAGGCUGGUGGUGUGACCCAGGUGUGGUGGCCGGUGACACUCUUUCUGGAGAAGGUAUUUUUCCAUAAGAUACUGAGGCUCAGACAUCAGCUGAGAAAUGUAAAGACUAAAUUGAAGUGGACUAACGUGAAGUCUUGGCAGAAAAUACUUUUAAUCAUUAAAUUCCUUAUGAGUAGUAAAAUACAUUCAGAAUGCAUUUCUUAAAGUAAAUUUAGGAAAAUAUCAACAAAAUAUGUGCAGGAUAUGUUCAAUUACAUCACAAGUCAAUGCUGAGAGAACUUAAAGACCUUGACAGAGCAGCAUGGGGCACAUUUCAGGGAGAGGGAAGUGUUCGGGGUCUGGAUUGUCAUGCUGGCUACAUGGGUAAAAGUAUUUGUCAAAAUCUAGUGAAACAUGAACUUAAAAUGGGUGUGUCCCAUUGCCCUUAUGUUAUACCUGAAGGAUGCUUUUCCCUUGUACAUUUCUGCUCUUCAGGAGGGAGGGGGUUGCAGAGCGCCCUCAGCUGCUCUGGCAGGGACAGCUGUGAGAAGCAGUCAUGAACCCAAAGGAGAGUCUCGGUCUGGAUCAUGAAUUGUGCGGGGCCAGGGGAUCAGGGUCCCCAGGAAAGAAAGUUCACCUGCCGAUCAUCGAGCUUCCCGAAGGUACAGCUUUGUGAGGGGAAAACCACACAGUUACAUUUCUCAGAGAGAUUGUUAGAAACCCAUCAGGCUCAUACCCUGUGUCUUUCCUCUGCCUGAUGCCCCGCACGCUGGGGCAUCUGAGCCCCUUUACCGCUUCCUCCCCCUUCCCUGGCUUUCUGUGCCAUCAGCUGUUCUAACAUCCCUUUCUGCUCACCCACAGUUGCCAUGUACCAGCUUCUCCUUCUGGUUAAUAUCUUUCAAGUUGGGUUUCUGUUACUCCUUUCCCACCUCAUACACCACUGGUUUCCUGAGCUGGGCCCAUGAUGAGUUUGUGUGCUAAGAAGAGCCAGCGUUCAGCACCGUGGAUUCACUGCUGGCACAGAAGUACCGCGCUGAGUCCCCUGCCUGAGUGGAGUUGAUUUCCAGGCUGCAGGGGUCACAUCUCGUCCUUCCUCUUUGAGCAUGUAUCUUGGGGUCUGUGUGAUUCCACCAUCCACGGUGCCUGUGGAAGAAAGGGAGCCGCUCUGGAAACAAGGCCCCGGAGGGCGUCUCAGGGCCGCUGCUGUCGGGGAGAGGCUUAGAUCUGGAGCUCAGCACCUUAUGGGGCAGGAAUUUGCUCCCUGAAGCCACGACUCACCUGCUCCAAGGAGACAGAGGGCCACCCAGUAGAUCACCGGGCUGCCCAUAGUGGGAAGGGCGUCUCCCUCCAGCUCCAAGCCCAGACAAAUGAGGAAAGGAACUUAGCCCUGUGGCUCCCCCUUGGCUUAAUGGGCAGAAUUUGGCACACGGCUAGAAUGGACACUUGGAUAGGAUCCUGGAGAUAUUCCAGACCGUCUCCCCGGUUUGGCAGAUGAGGAGACUGAGAACGGAGCUCUGAAUCACUGGCACCGCCACCUUGUGUCUUCCUUCCCCAGACUCUGCACUUUGGCCCGAUUGUCGGCGCUGCCACAUUCCAGGCCCGAGCUUCACUCUGAUUGGCUCGCGGGUUCACCUUCCUCGUCAUGGUAACGUUUGCUCACUGGAGGAGGAGCACACAGAUGCUCUUGUCACACAAGAACGGAGAGCAUGUUUAACCCCCUCGCUGCCAGGUACUGCUCCAGGCCUGCAGCAGCGGAGGAAGAGGACUACCACCGCCUGGAAACCGCCCCCCUUCCUCAGCCUACGCGUUUUAUUGCUUUAGCUCGGCUCGUCAAGGGUUGAACAUUAGAGAAACGUUGAUUGUGCCCAAAUAGUUGACUAAGUCCCCUCAGGAAAGACCCCGUGGUCCCAAGUGGCUAUUACCUGUUGUAGAUGAGUUUGCUGUCAGCCCAGAAACCUUAGAAUAAGCAGGGAUGAGAAUGAUCAAGUGAAACUAACUGCUAACAACUGGAAGUUUUGCAGGAGCCCUGGGAUAGCAAGCAGAAAACAAAGACAUGCUUUGCUUUCCUUGAGGGCCAGGUGGCUCCGAGCAGCCCGCAACCCGCCUUCGCCGUUUAGUCUGAAAGCCCCCUCGGCCCACUUCUUCCUUGGAAUAAAAGCAGCCUGACUCCUACCCCGCAUUAAGGUGGUUCUUUAGGACGUUAGCCCGCCGUCUUCUCAGCGUGCUGGCUUUCUGAACAAAGUUGCUCCUCUUUGCCCCGACACCUCUCUUGACUUACUGGCCUGUGGAGCAGCGAGCGGUAAGAGCCUGACUCAUUAACAAACGUUGACAAGCCAGCCAGGAGUCUUGCUGCUCGAGGCCAGCUGGCCCCGGCUGGGAAAUCGUGCUGGGCAAGCCCCCAGCAGCUUCCAGGACCUCUUGUGCUGCAGGUCCUCCUUCAAAAGUCCUUGGAGCAGGGCCGGCCACCCCGGUGCUCAGCAGUUGGAGCAAAGACUUGCCAUUUGGGAGUCGAAGGACUGAAUGCAGAAAGGUCUGUCUCUCCAACUGAAGUCACCCUGCACCCUUUUCAACUAACCCAGGCACCUCAUCCUCCUUAAAAGCUGGAAAAAGCAAGGACCCAACCAUCCGCUGGCUGUGAAGUGGACCGGAGGGGGCCGUAUGAGGGCUUGCUGACCGCACAGUCAUCAGUUAAGCAGCUGGGGUUAAGCUGUGGCUUCGCCACACCUGUUAAAGGCAGCAUCCACAGCAGAGGGCCAAGGGGCGCCCUCUAGGGUGGAGGAAACUAACAGGCAGAGGACUCGAGAGCCUCUGAAUGAUUUAGAGUUUCUCUUCAAAAAAAAAACAAACAAAAAAAGGGCUGAGCUGAGGGAGGAUGGAGACUAGCAGAACGAAACUGCCACCACCAGGAUGAAGACAUGGUGAAGGACCUUGUAAUAAACGACCCCGCAGCCCGGCCGGGAGCUGGAGCUGUCCUGACCGGCUACUUGGCAGACGGCUCCCGACUCGAGUGUUUCGUUUUUCCCCCUCUCCAAGCAAUAAAAGCAGCUGUUUUUCAC